ACCGUUAAGCCACCUCUCCUGUGGCGUGGGGCGCGCGGGCGAGACGUGAGAGGGAGUUGUGGGCCUGAGACCACUGAGAGAAGUCCGGAAGGUCCCUCAGAAAUAAUCGAACAACCGAAGAACCUAAAAAGCAAUUUCUUGCGUUCCCACAAUGAAUGAUCAAGAACAACAUUGCGGUUUGGUUCUGAAAGCUGCUUUAAGGAUUGAGAAUGUGAAAUUAGAAGAUGGUCAGCACUUUACGCUCACAGAUGGUUGCGUGGAAGCAAGUGCAAAGGUCCAGAGUGCAUUCCAAGCACCAACUGAACCUAAGCCUUUUCUCUGCAAAGCCCAGAAGUUCCAGAGUGGAAUUUCCAGCUCGGCUGACAGUCCUCUUAUUUCAAACCACAACAGCCACUACCUGUAAGAACAGCAUAUAACAGAGGUCCUG
This 427-nucleotide long non-coding RNA is filed under the name Numida meleagris (helmeted guineafowl). RNAcentral's name for it is "lncRNA (ENSNMEG00000022832.1)". The record is from RNAcentral. Lineage: Eukaryota; Metazoa; Chordata; Aves; Galliformes; Numididae.